RNAcentral lists this ribosomal RNA (275 nucleotides) under uncultured bacterium. Its description in RNAcentral is "partial 16S ribosomal RNA". It matches the Rfam family "Bacterial small subunit ribosomal RNA", at positions 399 to 691 of the family's 1533-position model. The record is from RNAcentral.
GCGUGAGUGAUGAAGGCCUUAGGGUUGUAAAGCUCUUUCGACGGGGACGAUAAUGACGGUACCCGUAGAAGAAGCCCCGGCUAACUUCGUGCCAGCAGCCGCGGUAAUACGAAGGGGGCUAGCGUUGCUCGGAAUCACUGGGCGUAAAGGGUGCGUAGGCGGAUUUCUAAGUCAGGGGUGAAAGCCUGAGGCUCAACCUCAGAAUUGCCUUUGAUACUGGAAGUCUUGAGACCGGAAGAGGUAAGUGGAACUGCGAGUGUAGAGGUGAAAUUCGU